AAAGAGCACAACACAACCCUUGGCUGCUGUGUUUGCACACUCUUCACCCUGCUCCUGCCCACUCUGCUUGUCACCUGCCCCCUGAUAACCCCAUCACUCCUGAAAGAUCCUGAGUGCCUGGAUUUUGUCAUCCAGCCCUGCAGGAUGCUCCCAUUUGUCCUGAGGAAGGCUGUCCCAGACAGAGAGGAGGAGAUGGAGGUAGAUGCAAAGAUUGAUAUGGAGGAGGAGAUGGAGGUGGAUGUGGAGGUGGAUGUGGAGGUGGAAGAAGAGAUGGAAGUGGAUGUGGAAGAGUCCAUUGAGGACAUGGACAUUGAUUAAAAAGGACCGAUGGACAUCAUGGACAGAGAUGUCACCCUUUUGUACAUACCUUUUACAUUUUGUUGUUGUCUUAUAGGUUUUAGGGCUUUUUGUCUUCUGUAAAUAUGUUGCAUCUAUUUUUGCUAGAUAGGUUCUUAUGUAUAUAUGUUCUAUCAAUUGUUGUUGUUACAAAUAUUCUUACAAUGUAAAUGUGUUCUGUAUUUUUGCUGCUGUUUCUCUGUAAUAAACAAAUUUUAUUUUUCACACCCCAGUUCUCCUUGCAUUUGCUUCAGGCACAGGCAGCAUUUUGCAAAGUUGUAGUUUCCACUUGCUGCAGGUUCCCAGGGCUGGAGGUCCCUGGCAUAGCCACCCCAGGAGUGGGGGUCCCUGUGCACAGAGGGAUCCCACUGACAGAGCCCUUCAAGCCCUGAGGAGACAUGACAGCCCUUCCCAGAAAAACAUAGUUGUUAAACAGAUAUUCA
Molecule: long non-coding RNA, 779 nt
Organism: Passer domesticus (house sparrow)
Lineage: Eukaryota; Metazoa; Chordata; Aves; Passeriformes; Passeridae
Exons: 4
Source: RefSeq, a predicted model, not a curated record